AGAGUUUGAUCAUGGCUCAGGAUGAACGCUAGCUACAGGCUUAACACAUGCAAGUCGAGGGGAAACGAUAUUGGAAGCUUGCUUCCGAUAGGCGUCGACCGGCGCACGGGUGAGUAACGCGUAUCCAACCUGCCCAUCACUUGGGGAUAACCUUGCGAAAGUAAGACUAAUACCCAAUGACGUCUCUAGAAGACAUCUGAAGGAGAUUAAAGAUUUAACGGUGAUGGAUGGGGAUGCGUCAGAUUAGCUUGUUGGCGGGGUAACGGCCCACCAAGGCUACGAUCAGUAGGGGUUCUGAGAGGAAGGUCCCCCACAUUGGAACUGAGACACGGUCCAAACUCCUACGGGAGGCAGCAGUGAGGAAUAUUGGUCAAUGGACGAGAGUCUGAACCAGCCAAGUAGCGUGCAGGAUGACGGCCCUAUGGGUUGUAAACUGCUUUUAUAAGGGAAUAAAGUGAGCCUCGUGAGGCUUUUUGCAUGUACCUUAUGAAUAAGGACCGGCUAAUUCCGUGCCAGCAGCCGCGGUAAUACGGAAGGUCCGGGCGUUAUCCGGAUUUAUUGGGUUUAAAGGGAGCGUAGGCCGGAGAUUAAGCGUGUUGUGAAAUGUAGACGCUCAACGUCUGCACUGCAGCGCGAACUGGUUUCCUUGAGUACGCACAAAGUGGGCGGAAUUCGUGGUGUAGCGGUGAAAUGCUUAGAUAUCACGAAGAACUCCGAUUGCGAAGGCAGCUCACUGGAGCGCAACUGACGCUGAAGCUCGAAAGUGCGGGUAUCGAACAGGAUUAGAUACCCUGGUAGUCCGCACGGUAAACGAUGGAUGCCCGCUGUUGGUCUGAAUAGGUCAGCGGCCAAGCGAAAGCAUUAAGCAUCCCACCCGGGGAGUACGCCGCAAGGUUGAAACUCAAAGGAAUUGACGGGGGCCCGCACAAGCAGUGGAUUAUGUGGUUUAAUUCGAAGCAACGCGAAGAACCUUACCAGGUCUUGACAUCCGACUAACGAGAUAGAGAUAUGUCAGGUGCCCUUCGGGGAAAGUCGAGACAGGUGGUGCAUGGUCGUCGUCAGCUCGUGUCGUGAGAUGUUGGGUUAAGUCCCGCAACGAGCGCAACCCCUGCCAUUAGUUGCUACGCAAGAGCACUCUAAUGGGACCGCUACCGACAAGGUGGAGGAAGGUGGGGACGACGUCAAAUCAUCAUGCCCCUUAUGACCUGGGCUACACACGUAAUACAAUGGCCGUUAACAACGAGGAGCAAACCCGCGAGGGGGAGCAAAACUUCAAAAACGGUCUCAGUUCGGAUUGCAGGCUGCAACUCGCCUGCAUGAAGUUGGAAUUGCUAGUAAUCGCGGAUCAGCAUGCCGCGGUGAAUACGUUCCCGGGCCUUGUACACACCGCCCGUCACACCAUGGGAGUUUGUAACACCCGAAGUCCAUAGCCUAACCGCAAGGAGGGCGUGGCCGAAGGUGGGAUAAGCGACUGGGGUGAAGUCGUAACAAGGUA
Molecule: ribosomal RNA, 1495 nt
Filed under: metagenome
Description: bacterial SSU rRNA
Rfam family: Bacterial small subunit ribosomal RNA
Source: RNAcentral